This 758-nucleotide ribosomal RNA is filed under the name uncultured bacterium. Its description in RNAcentral is "bacterial SSU rRNA". It matches the Rfam family "Bacterial small subunit ribosomal RNA", at positions 28 to 776 of the family's 1533-position model. The record is from RNAcentral.
GAUGAACGCUAGCUACAGGCUUAACACAUGCAAGUCGAGGGGCAUCGGGAAGAAAGCUUGCUUUCUUUGCCGGCGACCGGCGCACGGGUGAGUAACACGUAUCCAACCUGCCCUUUACUCGGGGAUAGCCUUUCGAAAGAAAGAUUAAUACCCGAUAGCAUAAUGAUUCCGCAUGGUUUCAUUAUUAAAGGAUUCCGGUAAAGGAUGGGGAUGCGUUCCAUUAGGUUGUUGGUGGGGUAACGGCCCACCAAGCCUUCGAUGGAUAGGGGUUCUGAGAGGAAGGUCCCCCACAUUGGAACUGAGACACGGUCCAAACUCCUACGGGAGGCAGCAGUGAGGAAUAUUGGUCAAUGGGCGCUAGCCUGAACCAGCCAAGUAGCGUGAAGGAUGAAGGCUCUAUGGGUCGUAAACUUCUUUUAUAUAAGAAUAAAGUGCAGUAUGUAUACUGUUUUGUAUGUAUUAUAUGAAUAAGGAUCGGCUAACUCCGUGCCAGCAGCCGCGGUAAUACGGAGGAUCCGAGCGUUAUCCGGAUUUAUUGGGUUUAAAGGGAGCGUAGGUGGACUGGUAAGUCAGUUGUGAAAGUUUGCGGCUCAACCGUAAAAUUGCAGUUGAUACUGUCAGUCUUGAGUACAGUAGAGGUGGGCGGAAUUCGUGGUGUAGCGGUGAAAUGCUUAGAUAUCACGAAGAACUCCGAUUGCGAAGGCAGCUCACUGGACUGCAACUGAUACUGAUGCUGGAAAGUGUGGGUAUCANACAGG